Molecule: ribosomal RNA, 252 nt
Filed under: uncultured bacterium
Lineage: Bacteria
Description: partial 16S ribosomal RNA
Rfam family: Bacterial small subunit ribosomal RNA
Source: RNAcentral
UACGUAGGGGGCGAGCGUUGUCCGGAUUUACUGGGCGUAAAGGGUAUGCAGGCGGCCGGGUAAGUCAGAUGUGAAAUCCUAUAGCUCAACUAUAGUAAGCAUUUGAAACUGCUUGGCUUGAGUCAAGGAGAGGAAAGUGGAAUUCCUAGUGUAGUGGUGAAAUACGUAGAUAUUAGGAGGAAUACCAGUGGCGAAGGCGACUUUCUGGACUUGUACUGACGCUGAGGUACGAAAGCACGGGGAGCAAACAGG